Molecule: ribosomal RNA, 164 nt
Filed under: Clostridioides difficile
Lineage: Bacteria; Bacillati; Bacillota; Clostridia; Peptostreptococcales; Peptostreptococcaceae
Description: partial 23S ribosomal RNA
Rfam family: Bacterial large subunit ribosomal RNA
Source: RNAcentral
UGGUCAAGUUAUUAAGGGUGCAGGGCGGAUGCCUUGGCACUAGGAGCCGAUGAAGGACGUGAUAAGCUGCGAUAAGCUUCGGGGAGUUGCACGUAAACUUUGAUCCGAAGAUUUCCGAAUGAGGAAACUCACUUAGAGUAAUGUCUAAGUAUCAUUAAGUGAAU